Molecule: transfer RNA, 38 nt
Filed under: Phytolacca thyrsiflora
Lineage: Eukaryota; Viridiplantae; Streptophyta; Magnoliopsida; Caryophyllales; Phytolaccaceae
Description: tRNA-Cys
Source: RNAcentral
AAAUCCUUUUUUCCCCAGUUCAAAUCCGGAUGUCCCCU